ACUCAAAUGAAUUGACGGGGGCUCGCACAAGCGGUGGAGCAUGUGGUUUAAUUCGACGACAAGCGGGGAACCUCACCCAGGCUUGACAUCUCGGGAAAGCCUAUGAAAGUAGGCCGUGCCGCAAGGAACCCGAUGACAGGUGUUGCACGGUCGUCGUCAGCUCGUGUCGUGAGAUGUACGGUUAAGUCCGUAAACGAGCGAAACCCUUAUCCGGUGUUGAAUUUCUCACCGGAGACUGCCGGCUUUAAGCUGGAGGAAGGUGGGGAUGAUGUCAGAUCAGCGUGGCCCUUACGCCUGGGGCAACACACGUGCUACAAUGCCAUAGACAAUGGGUCGCCAAGCCGCAAGGCGGAGCUAAUCCCAACAAAAUAUGGCCCAGUUCGGAUUGGAGUCUGCAACUCGACUCCAUGAAGCCGGAAUCGCUAGUAACCGUGUAUCAGAACGUCACGGUGAAUACGUUCUCGAGCCUUGUACACACCGCCCGU
This 485-nucleotide ribosomal RNA is filed under the name uncultured bacterium. RNAcentral describes it as "partial 16S ribosomal RNA". It matches the Rfam family "Bacterial small subunit ribosomal RNA", at positions 899 to 1397 of the family's 1533-position model. The record is from RNAcentral.